AAUAGAUACCCGGGUAGUCCACCCCGUAAACGUUGGGAACUAGUUGUGGGGUCCUUUCCACGGAUUCCGUGACGCAGCUAACGCAUUAAGUUCCCCGCCUGGGGAGUACGGCCGCAAGGCUAAAACUCAAGGGAAUUGACGGGGACCCGCACAAGCGGCGGAGCAUGCGGAUUAAUUCGAUGCAACGCGAAGAACCUUACCAAGGCUUGACAUACACCAGAACACCCUAGAAAUAGGGGACUCUUUGGACACUGGUGAACAGGUGGUGCAUGGUUGUCGUCAGCUCGUGUCGUGAGAUGUUGGGUUAAGUCCCGCAACGAGCGCAACCCUCGUUCUAUGUUGCCAGCACGUAAUGGUGGGAACUCAUGGGAUACUGCCGGGGUCAACUCGGAGGAAGGUGGGGAUGACGUCAAAUCAUCAUGCCCCUUAUGUCUUGGGCUUCACGCAUGCUACAAUGGCCGGUACAAAGGGCUGCAAUACCGUGAGGUGGAGCGAAUCCCAAAAAGCCGGUCCCAGUUCGGAUUGAGGUCUGCAACUCGACCUCAUG
RNAcentral lists this ribosomal RNA (547 nucleotides) under uncultured bacterium. Its description in RNAcentral is "bacterial SSU rRNA". It matches the Rfam family "Bacterial small subunit ribosomal RNA", at positions 777 to 1322 of the family's 1533-position model. The record is from RNAcentral.